This 588-nucleotide long non-coding RNA is filed under the name Callithrix jacchus (white-tufted-ear marmoset). RNAcentral's name for it is "lncRNA (ENSCJAG00000084096.1)". Lineage: Eukaryota; Metazoa; Chordata; Mammalia; Primates; Cebidae. The record is from RNAcentral.
AUGUUCCCUGAAGUCGUGCCCUCCCAGAAAGUCUCUAAAAUCAAGAACAUUGGAAGUGGGGUUUUGGGUGAGGGGUUGUGGUGGCGGAAUACAGAAGUCCUGGCUUGCAGGGCCUUCUCUGCUCUCUAUACUCUGAGGAAGCCCUCCCCUUCGACCCGAAAGCAUUUUGGGAGAGUGCUAGGCUUGGAAGACAGGAGACCUAGUGAGAGCAAGGCGGUGGUAACUAGUCGAGAGAGAAGCGCUUGGCAGGAGCUCUCUGCGGGACUUGAGCUCCCUGGCUGCUCGGGAUCCCUACGUCCGCGGCUGCGGAAGGACCAGACGGGAGGACGCCAGCAGUUGCUUACUGGAGCCUGGAGGGAAGGGGUCUGCAAACUCUUCUGUAAAGGGACAGAGAGGAAGUAUAUUAAGCUUUGCAGGCCAUAUGAUCGCUUUACCAACUACUCAACUGCAACAUUAAAGCAGCAACAGGAAAUGAAAAUGCAUACACAAAUAUGUUUGUCUUAUGAGGAGUAUGAGCAAUAUGUGGAAUGGAUGCAAGUCAAGUUUAGAUCAGUCAACCCUUUUCUAACCAGCAGAUUAUCGAGUUAA